RNAcentral lists this ribosomal RNA (433 nucleotides) under uncultured bacterium. RNAcentral's name for it is "partial 16S ribosomal RNA". It matches the Rfam family "Bacterial small subunit ribosomal RNA", at positions 29 to 507 of the family's 1533-position model. The record is from RNAcentral.
AACGAACGCUGGCGGCAUGCCUAACACAUGCAAGUCGAACGAGACCUCCGGGUCUUGUGGCGCACGGGUGCGUAACGCCUGGGAACUUGCCCUUAGGUUCGGAAUAACUCCCCGAAUGGGGUGCUAAUACCGGAUAAUCUCUUCGGACCAAAGAUUUAUCGCCUUUGGAUGGGCCCGCGUUGGAUUCGCUAGUUGGUAGGGUAAAAGCCUACCAAGGCGACGAUCCAUAGCUGGUCUGAGAGGAGGAUCAGCCACACUGGGACUGAGACACAGCCCAGACUCCUACGGGAGGCAGCAGUGGGGAAUAUUGGACAAUGGGCGAAAGCCUGAUCCAGCAAUGCCGCGUGAGUGAUGAAGUCCUUAGGGUUGUAAAGCUCUUUUACCCGGGAUGAUAAUGACAGUAACGGGAAAAUAAGCUCCGGCUAACUCCGUG